AUUGAACGCUGGCGGCAGGCCUAACACAUGCAAGUCGAACGGUAACAGGAAGCAGCUUGCUGCUUCGCUGACGAGUGGCGGACGGGUGAGUAAUGUCUGGGAAACUGCCUGAUGGAGGGGGAUAACUACUGGAAACGGUAGCUAAUACCGCAUAACGUCGCAAGACCAAAGAGGGGGACCUUCGGGCCUCUUGCCAUCGGAUGUGCCCAGAUGGGAUUAGCUAGUAGGUGGGGUAACGGCUCACCUAGGCGACGAUCCCUAGCUGGUCUGAGAGGAUGACCAGCCACACUGGAACUGAGACACGGUCCAGAUUCCUACGGGAGGCAGCAGUGGGGAAUAUUGCACAAUGGGCGCAAGCCUGAUGCAGCCAUGCCGCGUGUAUGAAGAAGGCCUUCGGGUUGUAAAGUACUUUCAGCGGGGAGGAAGGCGAUAAGGUUAAUAACCUUGUCGAUUGACGUUACCCGCAGAAGAAGCACCGGCUAACUCCGUGCCAGCAGCCGUGGUAAUACGGGGGGUGCAAGCGUUAAUCGGAAUUACUGGGCGUAAAGCGCACGCAGGCGGUCUGUCAAGUCGGAUGUGAAAUCCCCGGGCUCAACCUGGGAACUGCAUUCGAAACUGGCAGGCUAGAGUCUUGUAGAGGGGGGUAGAAUUCCAGGUGUAGCGGUGAAAUGCGUAGAGAUCUGGAGGAAUACCGGUGGCGAAGGCGGCCCCCUGGACAAAGACUGACGCUCAGGUGCGAAAGCGUGGGGAGCAAACAGGAUUAGAUACCCUGGUAGUCCACGCCGUAAACGAUGUCGACUUGGAGGUUGUGCCCUUGAGGCGUGGCUUCCGGAGCUAACGCGUUAAGUCGACCGCCUGGGGAGUACGGCCGCAAGGUUAAAACUCAAAUGAAUUGACGGGGGCCCGCACAAGCGGUGGAGCAUGUGGUUUAAUUCGAUGCAACGCGAAGAACCUUACCUACUCUUGACAUCCAGAGAACUUUCCAGAGAUGGAUUGGUGCCUUCGGGAACUCUGAGACAGGUGCUGCAUGGCUGUCGUCAGCUCGUGUUGUGAAAUGUUGGGUUAAGUCCCGCAACGAGCGCAACCCUUAUCCUUUGUUGCCAGCGGUCCGGCCGGGAACUCAAAGGAGACUGCCAGUGAUAAACUGGAGGAAGGUGGGGAUGACGUCAAGUCAUCAUGGCCCUUACGAGUAGGGCUACACACGUGCUACAAUGGCGCAUACAAAGAGAAGCGACCUCGCGAGAGCAAGCGGACCUCAUAAAGUGCGUCGUAGUCCGGAUUGGAGUCUGCAACUCGACUCCAUGAAGUCGGAAUCGCUAGUAAUCGUGGAUCAGAAUGCCACGGUGAAUACGUUCCCGGGCCUUGUACACACCGCCCGUCACACCAUGGGAGUGGGUUGCAAAAGAAGUAGGUAGCUUAACCUUCGGGAGGGCGCUUACCACUUUGUGAUUCAUGACUGGGGUG
Molecule: ribosomal RNA, 1464 nt
Filed under: uncultured Enterobacter sp.
Lineage: Bacteria; Pseudomonadati; Pseudomonadota; Gammaproteobacteria; Enterobacterales; Enterobacteriaceae
Description: bacterial SSU rRNA
Rfam family: Bacterial small subunit ribosomal RNA
Source: RNAcentral